Long non-coding RNA from Ctenocephalides felis (cat flea), 385 nucleotides. RefSeq lists it as uncharacterized. The transcript is spliced from 3 exons. The record is from RefSeq and is a predicted model, not a curated record. Lineage: Eukaryota; Metazoa; Arthropoda; Insecta; Siphonaptera; Pulicidae.
GUUGCUUCGUGUUCGUGCUGCGCAUUAGUUUGAACGUAUUUGUGUUUUGGUGUUUUUUUUUCUAUUUUAUUUAAAAUUAGUGCUUUGGUGGACAAAUAAUCAAAUGGCAUAAAUUGGCGAUAAAAUUGUUUGCAGAUUUUUGGUGUCGGUGAAGAAAUUUUAUCCAACAUAAUGGAGAGCCAUGUGAAUGUUUUGCCGAACAAAAUCAUCCUACAUUUUAUAGCCAUGCAAGGUACACUGAGUAAUAAUUUUUAGCAAUUUUCAACACCGCGUAAAGGAACAGAUACUCGAGGUGGAAAUACUUCUUUCACCAGCUUUCCUUCAGAGUACUUUUUUUAUCUAGUGUGGUGGUUUUUGUAGUAUUAAGUAAUAUUGUAAGUGCGAA